RNAcentral lists this long non-coding RNA (276 nucleotides) under Mytilus galloprovincialis (Mediterranean mussel). Lineage: Eukaryota; Metazoa; Mollusca; Bivalvia; Mytilida; Mytilidae. The record is from RNAcentral.
CUUGGAAUCAAAAGGUUCCACUGCGCCUGAUUUAUGAUUCUCUUUUUUUUUAAGUCCAAAAGAUUGUUGUGGCUUCUACUUAAUGUUAAUGGUAGAGAGAUAGGUUGAAAUUCUCUGUCAAAAUAAGUACGGACUGCUCUAGGUGUCACUCCUUUUAACAACAACGCUAACCGGACAUAAUUCUCCUCUUCUAUAGAAAGAGGUGCCAUGAUUUCAGAUUCGUUUUACAAUAUAAAACGUUAUCAUUGUAACUUAAUGGUUCAUGGAUUCCUGUAA